GGGGCGGUAGCUCAGACGGUCAGAGCAGCGGACUCAUAAUCCGUAAGACGCCGGUUCAAGUCCGGCCCGCCCCA
Molecule: transfer RNA, 74 nt
Filed under: Halopolyspora algeriensis
Lineage: Bacteria; Bacillati; Actinomycetota; Actinomycetes
Rfam family: tRNA
About the family: Transfer RNA (tRNA) molecules are approximately 80 nucleotides in length. Their secondary structure includes four short double-helical elements and three loops (D, anti-codon, and T loops).
Source: Rfam by way of RNAcentral